This 701-nucleotide ribosomal RNA is filed under the name Staphylococcus aureus. Its description in RNAcentral is "bacterial SSU rRNA". It matches the Rfam family "Bacterial small subunit ribosomal RNA", at positions 202 to 897 of the family's 1533-position model. The record is from RNAcentral. Lineage: Bacteria; Bacillati; Bacillota; Bacilli; Caryophanales; Staphylococcaceae.
GGUCUUGCUGUCACUUAUAGAUGGAUCCGCGCUGCAUUAGCUAGUUGGUAAGGUAACGGCUUACCAAGGCAACGAUGCAUAGCCGACCUGAGAGGGUGAUCGGCCACACUGGAACUGAGACACGGUCCAGACUCCUACGGGAGGCAGCAGUAGGGAAUCUUCCGCAAUGGGCGAAAGCCUGACGGAGCAACGCCGCGUGAGUGAUGAAGGUCUUCGGAUCGUAAAACUCUGUUAUUAGGGAAGAACAUAUGUGUAAGUAACUGUGCACAUCUUGACGGUACCUAAUCAGAAAGCCACGGCUAACUACGUGCCAGCAGCCGCGGUAAUACGUAGGUGGCAAGCGUUAUCCGGAAUUAUUGGGCGUAAAGCGCGCGUAGGCGGUUUUUUAAGUCUGAUGUGAAAGCCCACGGCUCAACCGUGGAGGGUCAUUGGAAACUGGAAAACUUGAGUGCAGAAGAGGAAAGUGGAAUUCCAUGUGUAGCGGUGAAAUGCGCAGAGAUAUGGAGGAACACCAGUGGCGAAGGCGACUUUCUGGUCUGUAACUGACGCUGAUGUGCGAAAGCGUGGGGAUCAAACAGGAUUAGAUACCCUGGUAGUCCACGCCGUAAACGAUGAGUGCUAAGUGUUAGGGGGUUUCCGCCCCUUAGUGCUGCAGCUAACGCAUUAAGCACUCCGCCUGGGGAGUACGACCGCAAGGUUGA